GAUGAACGCUGGCGGUAUGCUUAACACAUGCAAGUCGAACGGACUCUUCGGAGUUAGUGGCGGACGGGUGAGUAACGCGUGAGAAUCUGGCUUUGGGUUCGGGACAACCACUGGAAACGGUGGCUAAUACCGGAUGUGCCGAGAGGUAAAAGAGAAAUUGCCUGCAGAUGAGGUCGCGUCUGAUUAGCUAGUUGGUGAGGUAAAGGCUCACCAAGGCAGUGAUCAGUAGCUGGUCUGAGAGGAUGACCAGCCACACUGGGACUGAGACACGGCCCAGACUCAUACGGGAGGAAGGAGUGGGGAAUGUUCCGCAAUGGGCGAAAGCCUGACGGAGCAAUACCGCGUGAGGGAAGAAGGCUCUUGGGUUGUAAACCUCUUUACUUAGGGAAGAACAAAAUGACGGUACCUAAGGAAUAAGCAUCGGCUAACUCCGUG
Molecule: ribosomal RNA, 435 nt
Filed under: uncultured bacterium
Lineage: Bacteria
Description: partial 16S ribosomal RNA
Rfam family: Bacterial small subunit ribosomal RNA
Source: RNAcentral